Molecule: ribosomal RNA, 100 nt
Filed under: Eratigena saeva
Lineage: Eukaryota; Metazoa; Arthropoda; Arachnida; Araneae; Agelenidae
Also listed under: 1 other name
Description: partial 16S ribosomal RNA
Source: RNAcentral
CUUUCGUACUGAGAAGAUUUGAUUUAAAAGAUAGAAGCCGACCUGGCUUAUACCGGUCUGAACUCAAAUCAUGUAAUUUAUUAUAAGUCGAACAGACUUC